AUCAGGAGAAACUCUAGCAUUAGAGGAGAUACAGGCAAUGAUAGAUGAGGCGGAUAUUGAUGGAGACGGGCAGAUAAAUUAUGAAGAAUUUUAUCAAAUGAUGAAUUCCUCCUAAAACAGCUCUACCUCCCCUCUACAAGAUCAUGAAGCGUUGUCUUAAAGUUCUAUAAAUCUGGAUCUCAUUUCCUCAACGUUCCUUUUAAUUUAAAACAAAUAAACUUGAGCUGUUAA
Molecule: long non-coding RNA, 231 nt
Organism: Eurytemora carolleeae
Lineage: Eukaryota; Metazoa; Arthropoda; Copepoda; Calanoida; Temoridae
Exons: 2
Source: RefSeq, a predicted model, not a curated record